This 8013-nucleotide long non-coding RNA is filed under the name Homo sapiens (human). RNAcentral describes it as "HSALNT0311515". Lineage: Eukaryota; Metazoa; Chordata; Mammalia; Primates; Hominidae. The record is from RNAcentral.
UAAUUCUGCAGAGAACAUUUAAUGAUUUGGAAAGAUUUUUCACAAUGCCAAGUGUAAAGGCUAAUUUCAGAGCAACCCAUAUUGUGGUUCUACCCACGUUAAAAAAAAUACAAAGAUCUAGAAAGCUAAUAAACCAAGAAUAACAGUCAUCACUCCUGAGUAAUGGGCUUGUUGAAGAUUUAAAAUCUUUAUUUUUCAAAGUAACAAUAUAUAUGCAUUGCUUUUGUAAGAAAAUCCACAAAAAUACUAUUAUGUUAAAAAAUAAUUUACCUAGUUUUGGCAGAUGCUGCUGGGCAGGAAACUCUACAGCAAUUACUGACCUGUUCUUCCCUUGCUGCUUGUGCUUCCACUCUCUAUAGCUGAAUGCUCACCCUUCCAGCUUCCCUGACUGCUGGGGUGGCCAAGUGAUAGGAGUUCUGCCUAGUGAGAUGUAAGUGGAGGUCUGCUGGGUGGACAUGGAAGUUUCUGGGAAAGUUAAUGGCUCCUGAUAAAAGGAGGGGAUACUUCUGGCCCUCUACCUCUCCUUUCUUCCUUCUGGAAUGUGGAAGUGAUGACUUGAACAGCAGUAGUCCUCUUGUGACAACAAGGCAAUAAGGGUGGUGCAGCAGAAGGGUAAAGUCUAAGCUUUUGAUGACACCUUAAGUCAAUCCAUCAACCCUGGACUCCCUCCAGGCUUCUUGUCAUGGGUGAGAAUUCUGAUGUAACAGUUCUGGCUAGCUCAGGUUUGAAGGCUUUUGGCUGCAAGUAAGACUUAAGGUCUCUCCUCUAGGUCCUAGAUCAUCCCUAUCAUUCCACACUGCCUUCAUAGAGAGAAACAGUGCCUUAAAGGCACUCUUUUCCCAAGCUGAUGCUGCCUUCUUUUUGGCAUUAGUAUCUGAAUUUAUUUGGUGGUUCCUGGAGAGGAGCACUGUCUUUUGUAGCAUAGGAAUGUGUUAAGCAGCCCUUGUGCCCAACAGAGCAGGGCCUUGUAUGAGACAGCCAGUCAGCUGUCUCUCAAAACACUAUGUGCUGGGCAUUGUGCCAUGUGCUGGGGAAGGCAAAAGAGCAAAACGGACUCAUACCUUGUCCUUCUGAAGCUUAUCACUCGGUAGAAAACAAGAAUAUUGAGAAGUCAGUUAAUCCUUUGCAUAGUCGUUGGUGUGCAGUGUUUUAAAGAACAGGGUGCCAUGCAAGUGUGUCCUGGAGGGGCCUGGCCCGGGGCUCAGGGAAGGCAGCCUAGAAGCUCUUUUCUGUCUCUAGGCUCAGCAAGAUGUAUCCCAAAUUCCCAGGCUUGUCUGUGACAGCCUCUGCAUCACAAUGCCAAAUGGAAGGAAUCUUUCCUUUUGUCAGAGCCCUUGCCUGUGGGCUUUAUCAUCCAUAUAUGCAAAAUGAGGGAAGUGGACUCCACAAACUUCCAGCUUCCCAGAGCUCAAAUCCCACGUGAAAGCAGCUGGGAGAGGCCACCACAGGAAUGGUGCAAACACAGGCUGACAAGGCAAAGUGGGGGCUGUUUGCUUCCCAGCCUUGGCAGAGAUGGGUCCCACAUUUGUUCAGAGGCAGAGGCCUCUGCAGGGAACAGAGUAUGCAAAGGCCUUAAGAGUAGGCCUGUGUGAGCAGCAGCAGGAAGGCCAGUGGGGCUGGGGCAGAGUGGGGCACAGAGACGGAUCCCAUGUGGCAGUGAGCAGUGGAGGUCAAAGCCCUAGGAUCCAGCUUGUGUUUCAAAAGGAUUUCAGGUCAGCCCUUGCCCAUUCUGUUUGCUCUCAGAGUAAAAAAUUGAGGUCAAUGUUGGAGAGAUCUGGUAAUCCACGCAGCAAACUGCAUUGAUGGAUGUGGUCUCAGACCUUGCAUGUACCAAGGUAACCUAAGCAAUGAAGCAUUUAUUUUUAUUUUGUAUUUAUUUUGAAGUAUUUUUAAAUGUGUAUGACUUUUAUAAUCAUAAAAAAUUGAAAUUGUAAAAAAAUGGCAAGUGGUUAUCCCUAGGGAUAAGAUUAUCAGGGACUUUCACAUUCUAUGCUGUAUGUCAGCAGUCUUUUUAAAUUUUUGGUCCUUGAACAGUGCUAUUUUCUAUUGUUCUCUGCCUCUAAACAUUAAUGGGUAUUCCUCUAGGUGAUGUACAAGAAGAAACAGGCAAAGACAGAAGAGUAUUAACUCAGUUUCAUGGUCACAAAGUCAAUUACACACACACACACAUAUACACCCUGCUUCUUCCAGUCGAGUCAGGCCCAAGGGAACAACCUUGGAGGGAACAGCUCUUUUUUCUUCCUCCACUUCCAGUGCUCUCUUCCCUCAGUCUCCAGUGCUUCAAGCUUGAAGGCAAGUAGAAAACUUUGAAGGCAAUCACACCUACGUUGCCUGUUGGUGGGUGGUUGGGAGAACUGCCUGGGAAGGAGGGAGGAGGAUGAAGUCCCUUUGGGCAGGGUUAGCAGCACACAUCUUUGGAGUCUGACAACCUACUCACCAGCUGUGAGACCGUGAGCAAGUUUCUUGACCUUUCUGAGCCUGUGCCUCACCUGAAAAAUGGGAAUGAUGACACUGCUUCCAUUCCCAGGGCUGCUCUGUGCUGCAAUGAGACAACACAGGCUGAGUGCCUGGCACACAGUAAGUGCCAGUGGGUUAAUGGGGUCACUGUCUUUGUUUCAGAGCACAAAGACCUCUGGCUCUGGAAACAGAGGACCAGGCUGCAUGGUCCAGGACAGGUUGCUUUGCUUCUGCUUCUCCAACUGUGAGAUAGAGCUGCGGUGGGACAAGGCGGGGGGCAGACAUUUCUGCAGCAGGAUGCAGGUGUCCCUCACAGCUCCUUCCUUCACCUCAGUGGGCUCCACCUUGAUGCCACUCAUCUGAGACUGUGACUGAUGGACUGCUGGCAGGUGUCUAGCCCUGGGCUCUGUGGCACCCAAACCUGCUGUGCCAGGAAGUGAGGAUUCCCGAAGCUGAGGCUGCUCCCAAGUUUCAUCUUCUGUUGGGCUUCAGCCUCAGGUCUCGUUUUUGGCUCCUGUGCCACCCCCUGGAACUAGGGAGCAGUGGUCCAAGUCUCUGGAACUGAACCAGGAUGUCAGGCAGCUGGAGAAUGUUAGGGAUGAGGUUUUACUGCUUAUUUUGCUCUACUUUUCUAUCAAAAUUCUUUUAUGCUAUGCCUCUUAAAAUAGCGAUUUCAAACUCUCUCAUUGGUCUGUGAGGUUUCUUCUGAGUUUUAAGAAGACAAAGGGAAUGGUGAAAUAAAUCUUUUUGCCUCCCCCCACCCUUAAAAAAUCCAUAAAAAAUUAACAUGAAGGUGAAAUUUUUUGACUUCAACUCUGUCCUUGAGACCCGUAAACUUUUCCUGAAAUUUCAGCAGAGUGAUGUGCAGUUUUCCUGGGGAGGGUACCCAAAGCUUUCCUGAUAGUCUCACUGCAGUUGGUGUGAUGGAGUACAUAGGAACACUUCCCUUGUAGCAAUGACACUCAAAUUACUGUAUUUUCUUAAUGAGAGAAGCCACUUGCCUGAAGCCAGUACCUACCAAGAGACAGAUGCUUGGGGUUGAAAAGGUCUUUGGCUAUGGCUUUCAUGAGGAAUACAUAAAAAACCACCUAUGAAGUCUAAGGUAAAUGGUGAUAAUUACCAGCAAAACAAGGAUAUCUACCCCUGCCACUAGCAAAAAAAGAAGUCCACCUCGAGAAAAGAGUACGACAAAUUUUGUCAAGUUGAAAUGAUAUGAUCGCCCAGUGUGUUUGGUCUUUAUGGCAUUAUCUUUUAGGGUCAAGGUUUCUCCAAGUUGACCGCCAAUCAAAUGGCUUUUCAUUGCUCAGACAGAAACAGGUGCUCUAAGUAAGCUGGGCACAGCUGACUUUCAUGAUCCCCACUUGUUCAUUAGGGAGGUAGAAAAUCAAAAGCAAGGGCAAGUGUGGGUCUGGGAGUAUUGCCGAGCUCAAAUCUCUGCUCCCGCAAGUAAUGUCUCUCAUUCCUGAGGUACAGGCUGGCUCCUAAAUCUCUCUGGCUCUAGUUCCUCUCCUUAAAAUGGGGUUGCUGUGGGCUCAGAUUAAAGAAAUGGAAAGCCUUUAAAAGGUAACUGUGCCAUGUACUGUGUUAAGAAUUUAGUAAAUAAAAAUCUAAGACUUUAUAUUGGUAGAAAAUAACUUUUACCUUCCAACUUCCCUGUUGUGAAGGAGAAAAGGAUGUUCUGGGUAUGUGUAUGCAGGUGAAAAUGGGAGAGUCAGGUUAUCACUGCCCAGCAUUCCUAGGGAUUUACUUUUACAAUUCACAAAAGUUUUAAGAGAAUCAUUAUUCAACAUACAGUAGUAAACACCCUAAACCUUCCACAUUCUGCAAACAGUAGGCACAGACGCUUCACUAUUGUGGCCUUCUAAAUUUGAUACUCAAGGGGUUUUCUCCCCCAUCUUUUACUCUAUAUUGGUAGUUCCCAAACUUGAGUGCACUGGCCUCACCGCAGAGCUUCUAACUCAGCAGGGGUGGGUGGGGCUGGAGGAUGUGCAUGUCUAAAGCGUUCCCAGGAGAUGCUGGUGCUGCUGCUGCUCCAGGGAGCACACUUUGAGAACCAUUGCUCCAUUUGAUAUUAAAUACAUUCGGGGAACUCCUUUUCCAAACGCAGCUUUUCCCAGAAGAGCUGACUGGGGCCAGCAGAUGGUAAGCAGCUUAAGACAAGGUGGUGAGUAUGAAAGUGUGUGUCUGGCGAGCUCCCUUACAUCAUCAGGGCUUUUGGUUGUCUACAACGGGCUUCCAGAGAGAGUCUUAUAAUUUGGAAUGUGGCUAGCUGCAAAGGUAGGAUCCCAAGGAAGUUAUAAUACAGUGAUUCUAAACUCAAAGGUUCAAACGAUCACAAAAUCAAGGUUUUAGAAAAGGGGGAAUGGACACUGUUUUUUUCUGGCCAGGUGGCAUUAAGUCAGCCUGAGUGGAAUGUCUGGAAUGUUCAGGAGGGGAGAGGCUGUUCUCAAUGAGGUGAAUGCACUUUGGAAAAGAAGCCGCUAUGGGGAUGGAGGUCUGUGGCCCAGCAGGGGGGCUCUGGCUGGAUCUAAGCAUGCAGGGGAAGCAGCCCAAGGUUGUGCUCCCCUAGGCUAGCCUUGAGGAAAGAGUUCUGGGCAGGGGUGGGGUGAGGUGGGUCACUGUACAAACUUCAAAUGAAUUCAGCAGCUCAAUACCAAAAUUAAGUAGAGCAUCCUCUGGAUCUUAAAUGGUUCUCUCAUUCUCUCUCUGGACUUGACCCCAUUUUAUAUUUUAUUAGGUUUUUAAUCAGGUUCCAUUAUGAAGUGCUUUAAACAAGGUUAGAAUCUACAAAUGCACAAAGGGAGAGAACACUGCCUGGUCUACCUGGUUUAAGAAACCAGAGUGGAAGCCUCUGAGAAUGGAGAAGGCUUUGCUCAGUCCCUGGGAGCGGCCCUGGACUUCCAUCAUCAGCUUUGUCCCCUUCAUGCUGGCUCCUCAGCAGCAGGGAGCAGUGGCUCAGCACAUGGACUCUGAGGCCAGAGUGCUUGGGUUUAAACAGCAGCGACACCAAUCACCAACAAUAUGGAUGGUGUGGUCUUGGUACUUACCUGAUAGGGUGGUUACAUGACCUGCCUGCUUAUGAGGAGGAAAUGGAGGUACCGAGUACAUGGCUAAAUGUAAAUGGAGGGCUCAGGGCAGUGCCUGGCACAGUUUCUAUUCUGUAAUUGCCUGCUGCUAUUAAUGAUGAUACCACUGAAAGGAAACAAAGACCCAGGGCUUCAACAAAUAGCAAGAGUGUCUGACCUUGAAGGACGCUGGGCUUGGGCUGUGCUCAUCCAUUCAUUGAACAGAUUUAUUCAGUGUCUACUCAGUGCCAGACACUGAACUAGGCUGGAGGGUACAGCAGUGAAUGAAGCUGAAUAUUCCUGCCCUCAAGGAGCUUAUGACCAGUGGGAAAGACACAGAUUCAGCAAAGAUUCCCACUAAUGAACGAGUAAUGACAAAAUGAGAUGAAUGCUCUGAAGGGAUGGAAUUCAGCUUGCUGAGUGCACGGGAGAGCUGUUACCUGACCUGGCCUUCUGGGUAGUGGGAGUUGGCUCUGUCUGAAACUUGGAGGACGGUCAGGCAUCAAUGAUGGGAGUCUGGAGGCAGCUGGGAGCCUUCUAGAUAGGGUGGAGCUGAACGAAGGCCCUGGGGCAGGGGCCAGAGGGAUCUUAUAAAAAGGGAGGAGGGUAGGGAAGGGAGUGGAUGUCAUUCAUGGGUCCCACUGAAGUUAGCGUGAGGACAACCCUUUAAGCAGUUAUAAGGCCAGGAAUGGGAGGCAUUUGCGUGAUUUAGGAGUGCAUUUUGAAAAGAUCAUUCUGGUUAUAACAUGUGGAAGAGAUAAGGCUGAAAUGGAAGCUGGAGAGGUUGUGGGGAGACCCAAAAAGGGUGGAAGUGGUUUUGAAGCAUCCCCUGGAGUGCCUGUAACAUAGUUCCUGCCCAGCUUGCUGUCCCCACUGGAGAUUUUUUUUUUUAAAACAGGGUCUUGCUGUUACCCAAGGUGGAGUAUAGUGGCACAAUCUCUGCUCACUGCAGCCUCAAACUCCUGGGCUCAAAACGUCCUCCCACCUCAGCUGCCUGAGGAGAUGAUGAGACUACAGGUGUGUGCCACCACACCCCUGUCUAAUUUUUAAAAACAUUCUUUAUAGAGAUUAGGUCUGGCUAUGUUCCCCGAGUUGGCCACUGGAGAUUCUGAUGGAGCAGGUGCAUGGUGGUCCCUGGGAUCCUGCUUUUCCAACAUGCUGAAGCUGCCACCCAUGGACCACACCAUGAGUGGCUCUAGCUUGGACUCCGUUGGUCGUAGGGGAGUUGGUAACUGGAUGAAUUCUUAGGAGACAGCAAGAAGCCCUUUCUGAAAACUGGGACUAUUUUGCUUUGAAGAUAUUUGUCCCUAAACAUAAUUUAGUACAAAUUUCAGAGAUGCCCUUAACGAUAUAGGGAUGGAGUGAGGGAUAGAACUUUACAGAAGUAGACUCACCCUCCAUAAUUCUAAGGUGAUACAGAUGCAGGUGGCUCUGGUUAACUCAGGCUCUAUGUAACCUGGGUGCUAUGCAAGGUUUGCAUGGUGCUUGUUUUUAUCCGUCUCUCUGGUUUUCAGAGCAGCAAGAACCCUAUACAAACAGACUAUAGACUGGGCCUGAGUUAAUCAGAGUGGCUCUGGAUCUUUGUCCUGUAGAAAACUAGAGAGAGGAAUAUCCUCCUUUUUAUUAGCGUUAUGGAAAGGACACCAGCCAACCCAGCCACUCUAUCUUGAAAACUCUUGCUUGGGCUCUGAAAAAUGGUGAUGUCACAUAUAAGAUUUAAGUUAGGCACAAAAUACUACUCCAACUCUAGAGACCUCCAUUAGUUUUCCAGCUCUGCUGGGUCCAUGGCUGUAAGGACCUGGGGAAAGGAAGCCCAUCUGUCAGCACAGGUGAUGGCAAGUAUUACCUUUGAUGGAGUGUCUGGCAGAUCAGUGCCCUAGGAACAAUCCCAUGCUUGGUUCUCGUCCAGCCCUCAGGUCACUGGGACAUGCACUGAUGGAGAGCUGUGGAACUCUCCCUGGCCAAGAAAGGUGUUUGCUUUCCAGGGACCCUGGGACCAUCUAGGAAGUGGAUGCAUUACCUGCAUGUGUGGCUACAAAGAGCCUUCCUCUCUCCAGGAGGCCACCGUCCUAUUACUAGGUCCUCCCUUCCCUCUACUUUGCCCUAUUCAAAGCUACCAUCACCAAGUAUCAAAACAAAGGUCCCAACUCCGCAACCAUUGUGUGUUUUGGCACCUAGGAGGAAAUGUUCAGUUGAGUGGCGCUUAACCCUCCUGAUGGCCCAUAACUUCAUUUUCACAGUGGGAAACCUGGUAGCACCAUUUUCUCUGUAGGAAGCUAAUGUUACCAGGAGUGUCUUUUUCUUUAAAAGUGGAGCAUUUGUGUUGGGGGAUAAACAGCAGCCUCAGGAGGCCAGUGUCUGCAGGGGAGCUGCAGCAGCCAGCCCAGAACUGGAAAGCCGCGUGCCUGGGUUCUGGAGCCGAGGGUCCUCUGUGACGGGUGUAGCUGCCUCGCCAGAGGGCGCCCUUGCGGGUUCUGGAGCUGGAAUGCUG